GCCACGGUGGUCUAGAGGUUAGAACGCUAGCCUUGUAAUCCUGGGGUCUCGGGUUCGAUUCCCGGCGGUGCCC
This 73-nucleotide transfer RNA is filed under the name Zootermopsis nevadensis. It matches the Rfam family "tRNA". From Rfam's summary of the family: Transfer RNA (tRNA) molecules are approximately 80 nucleotides in length. Lineage: Eukaryota; Metazoa; Arthropoda; Insecta; Blattodea; Termopsidae. The record is from Rfam by way of RNAcentral.